Non-coding RNA from Chiloscyllium plagiosum (whitespotted bambooshark), 477 nucleotides. Lineage: Eukaryota; Metazoa; Chordata; Chondrichthyes; Orectolobiformes; Hemiscylliidae. The record is from RefSeq and is a predicted model, not a curated record.
CACCAGCUAAAGCUGUGCAGUCCCUGCAGAAGAGCCACAUCAGCUACUUGGAAAAAAAAGAGCUCCUGUCAGCCACAGUUGGACCUGGUUAUUGUUUCUGAUGGGUUGCCCACAUGUUCUCCUUGGUGUGCUCCCGACUGCUGAUGAACUACUUUGUCAAGUUCUGACUGGAUUUAUGAGGAAGGGUCAAAAUCUUGGAACUCACUUCCGAACAGCACUCCAUGUGUCACCAUACCCCAAAGACUGCAGCAGUUUAACAAGGCAGCUUACCAUCUUCUUCUCAAGGAUAUUUGAAGAUGGGCAACAGAUACUGAUCAGACCAGUGAUACCCAAAUCCCUUGAAUAAACAAAAUUUGGGAUCUCUCAGUAUGGCACAAAUGGUUUCAGUUGUUCUGUACAGUUUCGAGACUCUGGGCUUGAUAUACAUUAUUGACUAAAUUAAUCUAUUUAUGUAAAAAAAAAUCUUCCUGUGUUGUU